This 599-nucleotide ribosomal RNA is filed under the name Sutcliffiella horikoshii. RNAcentral describes it as "bacterial SSU rRNA". It matches the Rfam family "Bacterial small subunit ribosomal RNA", at positions 75 to 665 of the family's 1533-position model. The record is from RNAcentral. Lineage: Bacteria; Bacillati; Bacillota; Bacilli; Caryophanales; Bacillaceae.
GCUUUUGAAAGGUCAGCGGCGGACGGGUGAGUAACACGUGGGCAACCUGCCUGUAAGACUGGGAUAACUUCGGGAAACCGGAGCUAAUACCGGAUAAUAUAAGGAACCUCCUGGUUCUUUAUUGAAAGAUGGUUUCGGCUAUCACUUACAGAUGGGCCCGCGGCGCAUUAGCUAGUUGGUGAGGUAACGGCUCACCAAGGCGACGAUGCGUAGCCGACCUGAGAGGGUGAUCGGCCACACUGGGACUGAGACACGGCCCAGACUCCUACGGGAGGCAGCAGUAGGGAAUCUUCCACAAUGGACGAAAGUCUGAUGGAGCAACGCCGCGUGAGCGAUGAAGGCCUUCGGGUCGUAAAGCUCUGUUGUUAGGGAAGAACAAGUGCGAGAGUAACUGCUCGCACCUUGACGGUACCUAACCAGAAAGCCACGGCUAACUACGUGCCAGCAGCCGCGGUAAUACGUAGGUGGCAAGCGUUGUCCGGAAUUAUUGGGCGUAAAGCGCGCGCAGGUGGUCCUUUAAGUCUGAUGUGAAAGCCCACGGCUCAACCGUGGAGGGUCAUUGGAAACUGGGGGACUUGAGUGCAGAAGAGGAAAGUGGA